This 461-nucleotide ribosomal RNA is filed under the name uncultured marine bacterium 106. RNAcentral's name for it is "bacterial SSU rRNA". It matches the Rfam family "Bacterial small subunit ribosomal RNA", at positions 1072 to 1533 of the family's 1533-position model. The record is from RNAcentral.
GAGAUUGGGUUAGUCCGCACGAGCGCACCUUGUCCCUAGUUGCCAGCGAUUCGGUCGGGAACUUUAGGGAGACUGCCGGUGAUAAACCGGAGGAAGGUGGGGACGACGUCAAGUCCUCAUGGCCCUUAUGGCCAGGGCUACACACGUGCUACAAUGGCCGGUACAACGGGUUGCUAAGCCGCAAGGUGGAGCUAAUCCCAUAAAGCCGGUCUCAGUUCGGAUUGGAGUCUGCAACUCGACUCCAUGAAGGUGGAAUCGCUAGUAAUCCCGGAUCAGCAUGCCGGGGUGAAUACGUUCCCGGGCCUUGUACACACCGCCCGUCACACCACGAAAGCUGGCUGCUCCAGAAGUCGCCGUGCUAACCCGCAAGGGAGGCAGGUGCCUAAGGAGUGGUUGGUGAUUGGGGUGAAGUCGUAACAAGGUAGCCGUAGGGGAACCUGCGGCUGGAUCACCUCCUUUCU